GGCUAAACUAAGGACUGUGAGCAGUUGACUCUUAAUCAAUUGGUCCAGGGUUCGAGUCCCUGAGAGUCCA
RNAcentral lists this transfer RNA (70 nucleotides) under Paenibacillus terrae HPL-003. Its description in RNAcentral is "tRNA-Lys (CTT) (tRNA-Lys-CTT-2-1)". The stretch from base 12 to 70 matches the Rfam family "tRNA". From Rfam's summary of the family: Transfer RNA (tRNA) molecules are approximately 80 nucleotides in length. Lineage: Bacteria; Bacillati; Bacillota; Bacilli; Caryophanales; Paenibacillaceae. The record is from RNAcentral.